GACGAACGCUGGCGGCGUGCUUAACACAUGCAAGUCGAACGGAAAGGCCCUGCUUUUGUGGGGUGCUCGAGUGGCGAACGGGUGAGUAACACGUGAGUAACCUGCACUUGACUUUGGGAUAACUUCAGGAAACUGGGGCUAAUACCGGAUAGGAGCUCCUGCUGCAUGGUGGGGGUUGGAAAGUUUCGGCGGUUGGGGAUGGACUCGCGGCUUAUCAGCUUGUUGGUGGGGUAGUGGAUUACCAAGGCUUUGACGGGUAGCCGGCCUGGGAGGGUGACCGGCCACAUUGGGACUGAGAGACGGCGCAGACGCGUACGGGAGGCAGCGGUGGAGAAUAUUGCACAGUGGGCGGAAGCCUGAUACAGCAACGCCGCGUUCGGGAUGACGGCCUUCGAGUUGUAAACCACUUUCGCCUGUGACGAGGCGUGAGUGACGGUAAUGGGUAAAGAAGCACCGGCUAACUACGUG
This 468-nucleotide ribosomal RNA is filed under the name uncultured bacterium. RNAcentral describes it as "partial 16S ribosomal RNA". It matches the Rfam family "Bacterial small subunit ribosomal RNA", at positions 28 to 507 of the family's 1533-position model. The record is from RNAcentral.